Non-coding RNA from Chryseobacterium gambrini, 33 nucleotides. NCBI's taxonomy places the organism in Bacteria, Pseudomonadati, Bacteroidota, Flavobacteriia, Flavobacteriales, Weeksellaceae. The record is from Rfam.
AUAGCGGUAUCUGAAAAGCUCAUAGAGUAGGAA